Molecule: unclassified non-coding RNA, 220 nt
Filed under: uncultured Gammaproteobacteria bacterium
Lineage: Bacteria; Pseudomonadati; Pseudomonadota; Gammaproteobacteria
Description: contains 16S-23S intergenic spacer region
Source: RNAcentral
UCCGGUUUGUCACCGGCAGUCUCCCUAGAGUGCCCUUGCGUAGCAACUAGGGACAAGGGUUGCGCUCGUUGCGGGACUUAACCCAACAUCUCACGACACGAGCUGACGACAGCCAUGCAGCACCUGUGUUACGGCUCCCUUUCGGGCACACCCCCAUCUCUGAGGGCUUCCGUACAUGUCAAGGGUAGGUAAGGUGGGGAUGACGUUUCGCAACUAACCA